AAUGAUUGACUUUCCAUAACAAUAUUAUUAAUAAAUAUUAUAUUUAAUUUAAUCCCAGUUCAAUUCUUAUUGAAUCUGUGAUAUUAAAUAUUCUUACUCUCCCUUUUCUAGAGAUAUUUAUGUUCCUCUAGGUUUGUUAAUGCUUAUAUAGUUUAUCUCAUCCUUAGUUCUGCAGAUGUCUUCAAUGUAUUGUAUAAGUUGAGGAGUGCAGGAAUCUUUUGAAUGAGCUAAUAAUUUUGCUAAUAUUUUGGACAGCAUAGAUAAUGUGGUUUGAUUUUAAUGUAACAUUGUCAUUUCUAUGUCUAAGAGAUCUAAUAGUCAAGGCAGAUGUUGCGUACUUAAUGCCUUCCUACCUUAUCAGAUUUUAACUUUACCUCCUGUGAUUUAUUUUGAAGAAUUCCUUGCCUUAUCCUUGAUUUUUCUCUCACAUAUAAUUGUGCAGGUCUUUCAGCCAUGGAUCCAG
This 463-nucleotide unclassified non-coding RNA is filed under the name Hevea brasiliensis (rubber tree). The record is from RNAcentral. Lineage: Eukaryota; Viridiplantae; Streptophyta; Magnoliopsida; Malpighiales; Euphorbiaceae.